AUGCAUGAUUUGCAAACAUUAAGCAUUAAUCUGCUGUCAUCCAUGCAUCUGGCCACCACCAAACACCCAUUUUCACAAUGUGGAGAAGUGCAUGCUGGGAAAGGACUUUCAUGCACUUGUGCAGCUGUUGCACACUAAAGAAUCAGGGAUGCAGAUCGAGGCCUUAUCCAGGAGAAUUAACAACCUCACAUACUUACUCAGCCGAGACGAGCUGCUGAGAGGAAUGAGACGCAGCCAGACCGCCAUAGUGUGAUCGGCCUGCGCCGCAUUAACUCCACCGUCCCGCCAAGAGCAUACCUCAACCUAACCCACCUCACCCUCAAAGCUUCAGGACCUGAACUGUGUCACACAAUCCUGCAUAAUUCAGCUCAAGAACACAGCUCUAUUAUUUUUGAUAUUGUAUUACUAAUUAUUUUUGAUGCGUUAUGGGGUUAUAAUGUACUGUAUGACAAUCAGAUCUGAGUUAAAGAGCAAACAAAAAAAUAAUUUUGUGUAAUAUGCAGACAGCACUUUUCACAAAGCCUUUCUGUCAAUAGAUGAAAUCAUCUACCUCAACCAUUGUGUUCUUCUUAAAAUAUUGUAUUCAUAUAGCCAGUGGA
Molecule: long non-coding RNA, 599 nt
Filed under: Sinocyclocheilus grahami
Lineage: Eukaryota; Metazoa; Chordata; Actinopteri; Cypriniformes; Cyprinidae
Description: lncRNA (ENSSGRG00000037746.1)
Source: RNAcentral